CCCCCGACCAGAAACCGCUUUCAGAGACUUGUGUAAAUGCUGGUCUGCCAGGCGGAUGUCUAAGAAACAUCGGCAGAAGAUCCUCAUAAUGCAUCUGGAAAAAGAGACCGCACAAUCUUAAUACUCACCAUGCAAAAAACGAAAAGGAUCCAGUACUAAAGACAGACACGCUCCAGUAAUCAGGGGCCAACCCACAAGCAGCCAUCAUGGCACCACCUCUCCAAAACCGAAAGCCCAACUGACCAUGCCCUCAACUCCAACUGUACUGAACAGGAGGAACAUUCUGGCGAAGUCUAAAAAUUCAGUAGAACAAGAGCUUGAGAAAAUGCAAGUGCUUCAGAAGGAAAUGCUAGAGAGUCUCAAGAAAAAUGAGCAUUCCAUGAAAGUUGCCAUAUCUGGAGCAGAUAGCCUUUCUGGUUCCAUGAUUCAAGACGGC
This is a long non-coding RNA of Xenopus laevis (African clawed frog), 436 nucleotides long. RefSeq lists it as uncharacterized. NCBI's taxonomy places the organism in Eukaryota, Metazoa, Chordata, Amphibia, Anura, Pipidae. The transcript has 5 exons. The record is from RefSeq and is a predicted model, not a curated record.